RNAcentral lists this ribosomal RNA (594 nucleotides) under Triticum aestivum (bread wheat). Its description in RNAcentral is "partial small subunit ribosomal RNA". Lineage: Eukaryota; Viridiplantae; Streptophyta; Magnoliopsida; Poales; Poaceae. The record is from RNAcentral.
AUGGGGAAGAACCAGGCGUACAAGGCGAUGCAGCGGGCGCGGCUGGGCUCGUCCUCCGGCGCCCCCGGCGAAGGGGAGGAAGACGGCAUGACGGACGGUUCAUUUCAUUCUCCAGAGUGGCACGCGGCGCGCUUGGCCAGCCUCAACAAGACCCACACCCUCACGUGGGAGGAGUUCAAGAAGAAGCAGAAGGACGAGGAGCUAAAGAGAGGUGAGGUGGAGGCUGACAAAGAUAAAAUGAUGAGAGAGUAUAGAGCUCAACUGGAUGCUGAAAGGGCCCAAAAGCUUGGUCGUGGAAGAGACGUUGUAAAGUCAAAAUCAUCAUCUUCCAAGAAAGAAAAGAAGGAAAAGGACGCAAAGAAACGGAUUAAAAAGAGGAGGAAGCACAGAAGUUCGUCAGAAAGUUCCAGCUCAUCAGAAUCAUCAAGUAGUGAUGAUGAGGACAGGGGUUCAAGAAAAUCCCGAUCCCGAUCAAGAUCAAAGCGAAGUAAGAAAGAUAAGAAGCACAGGUCCCGAUCCAAGCAUGCGGGAAGUGACAGCGAGGAGGAAGGCCCUGUUCGCCUCUCGAAAUUCUUUGGGAAUGCAAAGAAUUAG